CGAAUGCUGACAUAAGUAACGAUAAAGCGGGUGAAAAGCCCGCUCGCCGGAAGACCAAGGGUUCCUGUCCAACGUUAAUCGGGGCAGGUGAGUCGACCCCUAAGGCGAGGCCGAAAGGCGUAGUCGAUGGGAAACAGGUUAAUAUUCCUGUACUUGGUGUUACUGCGAAGGGGGGACGGAGAAGGCUAUGUUAGCCGGGCG
This 201-nucleotide ribosomal RNA is filed under the name Klebsiella pneumoniae. RNAcentral's name for it is "partial 23S ribosomal RNA". It matches the Rfam family "Bacterial large subunit ribosomal RNA", at positions 1291 to 1497 of the family's 2925-position model. The record is from RNAcentral. Lineage: Bacteria; Pseudomonadati; Pseudomonadota; Gammaproteobacteria; Enterobacterales; Enterobacteriaceae.